RNAcentral lists this ribosomal RNA (253 nucleotides) under uncultured bacterium. RNAcentral describes it as "partial 16S ribosomal RNA". It matches the Rfam family "Bacterial small subunit ribosomal RNA", at positions 524 to 776 of the family's 1533-position model. The record is from RNAcentral.
UACGAAGGGUGCUAGCGUUGUUCGGAAUUACUGGGCGUAAAGCGUACGUAGGCGGCUUAGUAAGUCGAUUGUGAAAGCCCCAAGCUUAACUUGGGAAUUGCAACCGAAACUGCUUUGCUUGAGUUUAGUGGGGGAUGGUGGAAUUCUUAGUGUAGGGGUGAAAUCCGUAGAUAUUAAGAGGAAUACCGGUGGCGAAGGCGACCAUCUACGCUAAUACUGACGCUAAGGUACGAAAGCGUGGGGAGCAAACAGG